CUGGCACCAUGUGGUUCCUAGCUGCAGUGCUGGGACCACAGGAACAGCUGGGAUGUGGUGCUGGAGCAGCCGGAGGGGACACGGGGAAGCAGCAGGAGAACGGCAGCAGUGGCAGAUGUGGGGAUGAGUGGCAACGAGCAGGAGCACAGGACCUGCACCAGUGCCCUGGGGCCAAGAGUGGCAGAAACACAGAGGGCGGGCUUGCAGAAGCAUUGGUGGGGGCUCUGCCUGCCACCAGGGGGUGGGGGAGGGCAGGCUGUGGGAAAACCCUCCCCCUCCUCAACCCUCCCCAGCCACCCCCCCCACAUACUCACAGCGCCCCACAAAACUCAUACCCACACAACCCACACCCCCCACACCUAUCCACAACCCCAUACACACACCCUCCCCCAGACCUCACAUACCCACAAACCCAGGGGUGGGCAAAAUACAGCCGGGGGGCCGGAUGCAGCCCGCUAGGCCAUUCUAUCAGGCCUGCGGGGCCCCUAAAAAAAUUUAGAAAAUUAAUAUUAAUCUGCCCUGGCUGCCUGUCAUGCGACCUUUGAUGGCUUGCCGAAACUCAGCGGCCCUCUGCCCAAAAUAAUUGCCCACCCCUGCACAAACCUAUACCCACCCUCCUGCCCACAGCCUCCCACAAUAUACAAAAGUAAGACUUCAUUUUAACCUAUUAUACAAUCACCUCUAUGUACACUACACAAAUAUAUGUAAAUCAGGACAAAAAUAUUUUUGAAAUUAAAUUAAUGAAUGUUGUAGUGCGUUUGUGUUUUAGAAUAUCAUUUGGUAUUUUUUUGGUUCUGAGAUGGCAAAACCCCUUGCUGAAAGGAAUUCUUCUGGGUGCAAGGGGAGGGACUUCUGGUGGCAAAGGUCAGGAGUUAGGGGGCAGGACUUCCAGUCCCAAGGUGGUGACCAGGGUGUGGGGCACAUGUCAAGGGGCGGGGCUACCCAUGCAGCCUUCCAUGGCUUGCCAAACUCAGUAAGCAGCCCUCUGCCUGAAAUAAUUGCCUGCCCCCGCACUAAAUGGACUGAGAAACCCAAGUGUGAUCCUGUUCUAUCCUUCAGGUCUCUGAAAAAAAAGUGUCAAUAUUCCUUCUUUAGUAACACACCGUAAUCUUAGCCUGAAGACUUAAGUGAUGGCUUUAUUAAAACUUACGUUGUGAGCAGCACAAGUAUUGACUGGUGGUAGAGCUAGCUGGAGUUUGGAGCAGUUGCACUUCAGGCCAGCAGGGGCCUGGAGGACGGAAAGCUAAGAAUUCCCCUCUGCCUCCCAUUCUGGGCUUCCUCCCUGACCCUGGCAUUCCCCAGUUUGUCCCUUGCCCCCAAGGCAUUGUGGCUGCCUGCACUAUGUCCCCCAAAGAAGCAGAUAGGGAAGGGUUAACCUGCCUGCCCCAAUCAUGGCUCUGUCCCAGAUCCCAGCCCUGUGCUGUCACCACCCCGAGAUGCUGAUCCCAGCCCUGGCCUUAGUCCCGCCCUCCUGCUCUGCUCCCGGACACCACUCCCUGCCUGCCCGCCCACAGCCCCGUCCCAACCACCUGACUGUGUACCCUACCCGAUUGGGUCCCAGGUUCGUUUCCAUCCAGGGCCAUGUGCCCUAUUCGAUUGGGUCCCACCUGCCUGGUCCAUCCAGUACUCCUGGUGGCAGGUAUGGGGUGGAUGGGCCAGGGUGACUGGGCAAUGGGGCUGAGGGUGGAGCUGGCUGCGGCAGAGGCAAAGGCUGGCAGUGGCAACUGGGAGGCGCUCUGCCCCCAGGGCUGCUGAGAAUCAAGUCCAGCUGCUGUACCACCCCAGCCCCACUGUGCACACAGGGGUGGUGGGACUUGCCACAUGUCCCUGGGCUGGGUGGGGCCAAGGGACUCACUGCAACCCAGACAAAAUCCCUUAGCAAGCCAGAACCAGCCCGCAGGCCAUAUUUUGCCCACCCCUGAUCUCAUGCAACAACUUGCACAAAUGCAGGAUGCGCUUAUUUCUGUACUAUCCCAGACAGCUGCCUUUUUUUAAAAACCUCCCAGGAAGGAGAGUCCACAACUUCUGUGGACAGCUAGUUCCACUGUUCUACUAUUCUGACAGUAAGGAAAAACUGAGAUUUAGACUUAAUCCCCUCUGCUGCAGCCUAUACCCAUUGCUUUACAUCCUCCCCAAGGCAGCGAGGAAAACCAGUUUUCUCCCUCCACUUUAUGUCAUCUGAAAACUUGUGUUCGCCCAUUUAAUCUCCUCUUUGCCAAAUUUAAUUUACCUAGUUCUCUCAACCUUUCCUCAUACAGCUCCAGUUUCUCCACAUACUUCUCAAAUUGCAGCACCCAGAACCACAGUCUUCCUGCUAUUCUGCUCAAAAGAUCUCAGGCAAGUUCAUGUUCAAAAGGGAUGACCUUUUAUUCCUGGUUCAUUCUCUGAUAAGUCAGAAAAGGCCCAACACACAGCCACAUAAAACACACAAUCAAAUAGGCACUGCAAACAGGCUCUAAUCAGACACAGAUAACCAACUUGUAGCAAAGCCUCCCUUGAUGCAUUGCUACCAUAGAGCCUUUUCCACAGUCCCUUUUGGAAGUUCCUAGACAAUCUCACCCUUAUAGCUUCUUGUUUGAUUAUUGUAUUCACCCAGGAACAAGCAAUUUUCUUUUAAAGAUUAUAGGUGGAGCCAGAAAUCUUUAUUGCUUUAUUCAGGAGCAGCUACAAGAGUGCACCUGUAGAUUUUGGCUGAGCAGCAAGGGGAGGGGGCAUGAUGCUGAUUAGUGGACUCCGCUUCUGCUCUGUGGAGCCAGCUUUCAGCUAUGGUGAGCCUAUGCUGCAGUAGGUAAGGUGAAAUAUUUUUUAUGCCUUCCAAAACCACGAUGCAAUUUAGGGUGUGUCCUAUGCAAAUAAAUGUGAUCAUUAAAAAUGACUAGCAGAUCCUAUAUAAGCCUCUGUUUUUAACCAAUUAACUACUAAACUAAAUCCUGAGGCCAAAAUUUUAAAUUCUUGCUCUCUGCCUCAAGUUGAAUUUUUUUUUUCAGUUUUCACAAAAAAGUCUGAGGUUUUGUUUGUUUGUUUGUUUGUUUGUUUGUUUUUAAUAGGCAUUUUUAAUAAUUUAGACCCAUUUUUUAUAAUAAUGAUAACUCAGGACAUUGGAACAGGAACUUGAAAUGUGAUAGGCAGUUCCAGAGUCAGAGAAGUGCCUCUUUUCCUGUCCAUGAAACUACCUUAAGUUACAAAUGACAUCAAAUCACUAUUUGAUAAUGCACAGUACAGCUUGUUAGACUCUUGAUACUAAAAUGUCUAAAGAUUCUUGCUGCCAUGAAUGUUCUUCCCAGAUGACACAGCGAAUCUUGUAGACCAGAACAGAUUUCUUUGUGGUACAUUGACCAACAUGCUUUUCCUGUUAUUUUCCAAUGCUGAAAUACGCUUUGGCUUAGGAGACAGUACACUGAUGUGGAAACACACAAGGUGUAAGUACAAAGCUCACUUCUACAGACUAGUAUUAAUAUUGUGUACCUAACUCCAAAGUGUAGGUCCUCAGACCCCUGUUGGCUGGCACCAAAGUUGCUGUCAGUACAAUUCCUUGGGAGACUGGAUGCCUGCUGCAGGGCAAAUCCAGUACUGCCUCAGCCUAGCUCAUGUCUAAGCCCUGUUGAUAUUCACAGCUGGGAAAUGUCUUCCUUUUCCCUGCAGAGCUUAACUUGGUAGGCAUUUUCAGAGCACACAGUCCCAUGUGGAAGACAGCCAGGAAGGUUUUUUUGUUCAAUAACUCAGUGAUUUAGGCUUUCUCCUAGUGGGAGGCCCAGAUUCAAAACACUGGGGGGCUUAGCCUCCCCCCCCCACCCCAAAAGAGUGGCAUACCCACAAGACUAUAGGGUAUUCUGCAGAGAAAUCUCCCUCUGAAUUUCUCCUGUCAAAGCUGUUCCACUCUGUAUAAAAUACAGAAUUAUUCUUUGGAGAAGAACUGGAACUCAGGUUUUCACCUUCCCAGGUAAGUGCUCUAGCAUCAGGCACUAUAGUAGUGUUUGUCAAUCUUUUUACACUUGAGGCACCCUUCAUUUGUCUCAAGGCACCCCCCUUCCCCCUCCCCCCCCCCAUAACUUUUGUGAAUUUAGCAGCACUCCAUUUCAAAAUCAAAUGUAUUACAGUGCUUAUCUCUUUGCAGAUGGUCUGCCAACGGGGGUGGGGCAGUCACCAGGCAGGUACAAGCUUGAGCCUGUGCUUGUCACCAUGCACUUGAUUGUGUCCUCACACCUUGAGGCUCCCUUUAAAAGAUCUCCCGGCACCUCAGAGUCCCUUGGCACCAUGGUUGAGAAUAACUUCUCUACAGACUCUCAUGCAAAAUGGAACCAAGUUAACUGCUGACUCAAAAUUAGCUGCUGCUGGGGAUACAGCGUGUCAGAGGAUCUGGUGCCUGUGAAGAUAUAUCUGGAUAAAGCACUGAUGUGGUGAGUGGAAACAGGAAACUCCAGCACUAGGAGACAGAAGCCUGCUGCUUUGCAUUGCAGAUUUAUGUUGAGCCUGUGAUCCACUGAGACACCAAGAUCUUCCCCUGCAUUGUUGCCAUCCAGCCUGUUGCCAUCCAUUUUGUAUUUGUGGUUUUGAUAAUUCUUCUCAAGGUGCAUCAACUUGCAUUUGUUAGCACCGAAUUUCAUCUUGUUGGUUGUAGGCCAUCUUUCCAAUCUAUCAAGAUCCUGCUGAAUAGUGCUUGUA
Alligator mississippiensis (American alligator) is the source of this 4662-nucleotide long non-coding RNA. RefSeq lists it as uncharacterized. NCBI's taxonomy places the organism in Eukaryota, Metazoa, Chordata, Crocodylia, Alligatoridae. The transcript is spliced from 2 exons. The record is from RefSeq and is a predicted model, not a curated record.